CGCGGGGGAGGGCAGGGAACCUCCCUGGGAGCCAGGAUCUCACCCUGCUGCCUUCUGUGGACAUCAAGGAUAGAAGCAACCUGAAGUUGAAAAAAUAUUUUUUUUAAAAAGAAGACUGACCUACAAAGAUUAUCCUCAUCACAAAAGUAUGGCUAUGUCAAGGUGGCUAAAUGAAGCAAUCUGGCUUUUAGGUGAGAGGCCUGGUUUUAAGAAUUGUAGACAGCCUGAGAAAGGACCUUGGAAUUCAUCUACCACCUUUUAAAAGAGGAGAAUCUGAGCCUGAAGGAGAUUAACUGGUUUACUCAAGGGAUGGAGAGAAAAGGGCAGCACAGGCUCUAGCUCUGUCCUACUCUGUCAGAGAUUCUGGGACUGGGAAAGUGACCAUCCUCACAUUCUUCCAAUCCUCUGAGGACCCGAGGACCCUGCAAUAUUGAGAAAAGCUUUGAUGGAGCCGGCUGGUAGAUCUCCACUCCAGAUUUUCCAGCUGUCCUUGUCCCCACACCGCUGAGAGAGCAGGAUGCUGAGAUGGCUCUGUGAUGCAGAAGGCUGAGAUGUAAUCACUGCUCUUUGUUUCAUUGGAAUGAACAACACAGCAGCACACUAAUUACCAGUGGCGGAUGAACUCGUCUCCAGAAACCCAAAGGUCUUAUACGUUUUGAUAGAACAACUUGAAUCAUACAACCAAGGAAACCUCUCUGUCAUUAACACUGUUCGAAAACGUUCCUAGACACUGGGCCCUGGCUCUGGCGUGCUGGCUCUGUGUCUUCUCGGAGGAUGGAGUGAGUGACAUUGCAGCGAUCACCUCUGAGAUUACUGACCAUCAGAAAACAGUCAAGAUGGAGAAAAAGGAGAAUCAGAACAUGAACUGUGAGGAACAGAGCAAAAUUUCUCCCUGCACCGAUUUCAUGACUUGCUUUGGCUGAUGCAGUGUAGGCGGACGUGACAGCAUGCUGGCCCAAAGCAGAAGCUCUAAGAGGCAGCUCAUGGUUUUACUCUCCUUUGUGCUCAUACCAUCCAGCAAAAGAACAGGCGCCUAGGAGCCAUUACUUUUUUUUCUUCCCAUUUUAUUUAUUUAUUAUUAAUUUAUUGAUUUUUACUUUAUAUAUUUUUUGUUUAUUUUUCAACUACAGUUGACAUCCACUAUUAUACUAGUUUUAGGUGUACAACCUAGUUAUUAUACAUUGUAUAACUUAUUAAGUGAUCACUUCGAUAAAUCUAGUAUCUGACACCAUACAUAGUUAUUACAACAUUAUUGACUAUAUUCCCUAUGCUGUACUUUACAUUC
Molecule: long non-coding RNA, 1285 nt
Organism: Molossus molossus (Pallas's mastiff bat)
Lineage: Eukaryota; Metazoa; Chordata; Mammalia; Chiroptera; Molossidae
Exons: 10
Source: RefSeq, a predicted model, not a curated record